This 307-nucleotide signal recognition particle RNA is filed under the name Rosa chinensis. Its description in RNAcentral is "sRNA RchiOBHm_Chr2g0096631". It matches the Rfam family "Plant signal recognition particle RNA". Lineage: Eukaryota; Viridiplantae; Streptophyta; Magnoliopsida; Rosales; Rosaceae. The record is from RNAcentral.
GCCGAGCUAUGUAGCGCUAGCUUAUGACUCAAGCGAGGGCAUUAAACCGUUGGAACAACGGGUCGGCCCACCCUGCAGGGUUGAAUUUGUGCGAUCUGCUGACCCGCCCAUUCCAAGUUGUGGGUUGGGCCUUGUGGUUCAGGCUAAGGCCUGGGCUGCGUGGCCCUUAGAGAGGAGGGCAAAGCGUGAGGCUGGUUUCACAGAGCAGCGAAAACCGCCCGCCCACAACAGUGGAAGGAUAACGGGUUUGUGCACUGUCAACCCAUAUUGCUUGGUGGGCUGACCUGGUUGAACCACUUUUUUUUUU